This 564-nucleotide ribosomal RNA is filed under the name Streptomyces sp. 343H10. RNAcentral's name for it is "bacterial SSU rRNA". It matches the Rfam family "Bacterial small subunit ribosomal RNA", at positions 93 to 671 of the family's 1533-position model. Lineage: Bacteria; Bacillati; Actinomycetota; Actinomycetes; Kitasatosporales; Streptomycetaceae. The record is from RNAcentral.
UAGUGGCGAACGGGUGAGUAACACGUGGGCAAUCUGCCCUUCACUCUGGGACAAGCCCUGGAAACGGGGUCUAAUACCGGAUAACACUUUUCCCUGCAUGGGGGAGGGUUGAAAGCUCCGGCGGUGAAGGAUGAGCCCGCGGCCUAUCAGCUUGUUGGUGGGGUGAUGGCCUACCAAGGCGACGACGGGUAGCCGGCCUGAGAGGGCGACCGGCCACACUGGGACUGAGACACGGCCCAGACUCCUACGGGAGGCAGCAGUGGGGAAUAUUGCACAAUGGGCGGAAGCCUGAUGCAGCGACGCCGCGUGAGGGAUGACGGCCUUCGGGUUGUAAACCUCUUUCAGCAGGGAAGAAGCGUGAGUGACGGUACCUGCAGAAGAAGCGCCGGCUAACUACGUGCCAGCAGCCGCGGUAAUACGUAGGGCGCAAGCGUUGUCCGGAAUUAUUGGGCGUAAAGAGCUCGUAGGCGGCUUGUCGCGUCGGAUGUGAAAGCCCGGGGCUCAACCCCGGGUCUGCAUUCGAUACGGNCAGGCUGGAGUGUGGUAGGGGAGAUCGGAAUUCCU